AAAGUAUUAAUCAAACUUCCUAUUAUUACUCUCCUCUAUCCUUUAUCCACUCUAUCUUCUUCUUCUUCUUCAUCCGAUUCUAUCUCUUUCUGUUCUUAAUCUUCUUGAUAGGUUCACCACUUAUCACUCGACUUCCUUGUAGAGUGGUGUGAUCGAGUGAUGGUCAAGUGUGGAGGUGAUGAUACUCGACCAGGUGGUAGAGUGAUCGAGUGAAGGUGAUGAAGGUAGUCGACCAUGUGGUAGAGUAGUGUGAUCGAGUGAUGGUCAGGUGGUGGAGGUUAUGAGACUCGACCAGGGGGUCGAGUGGUGAGGUGAAGUGGUGAAGUCCUCUACUCGACCAGGGGGUCGAGUGGUCUGUUGAGGUCGUGAAGCAUCUACUCGACCUGGGGGUCGAGUGGUUUGACAUGAUCAGGAACGCUUCUUCCAAUUAGCUCGUCAACAGCUCCAAAUCACCUGAAAACAACACAAAUAUGCAACAUGCAUGCAAAACUAUCCUAAACAUGCAAAGUGAUGACAAAUGAUAUAAAACAAUGAUGAUAUGAUGAUAAAGUGAUGACAAAUGGAUGCUCAAAACAGGCAAAAUGCACACUUAUCAACUCCCCCAAACUUAGUCUUUGCUUGCCCUCAAGCAAACAAUUAAGAACAAGUAGGAGGUGAGAGUUGAAGGCGGGGACUUUGAGCCAAAGCACCAGAUAAAUCAGAUGAAAUCAAUGUCCAAGUUGAUAGUUCUAAGCUGCGAUAUGAUUGAAUUCUACUCAAAAACGUUAGCUAUGCCUUGUUAUCAAUCAAUCCGACUCUUAUGCUCAGCCUACACAUGUUUUCAAAUCUACCAAUCCCUUUAACAUUCAUUAGUUAUGGAACGUGAAUCAAGCAAUGCAUCUAUCAAUGAACUCAUUUGGCUAAGGUAAAGGUCAAGUGACAAAGAUGGCCCCUUACAGAAUAGGCUUCAGCAAAAGGGGAUCUCUCAAAAAAUGAUUAAGCUUUAGUAGAAUGCUAAAGGUAAGUCCCAAGCUAUGCAUACAGAGAUAAGAUCCCAUCUACCAAGAGUAUAACCAAUGAAGCUCUAAUGGUAAUCCCAUCUCCAAUCCCAAUAUAAGAACUUAACUCUACCCUUUGCAUUCAUGAAUCUUUUAACCCCUUUUUCUAAUCAUUCUUUUCUUUUCUCUUAACUCUAGGAGAAGCUUUCUCAACACUCUGAUACAUCUAGCGGAUUUGUAUUUCUUUAACAACUAAGGAUCCUCUUUUCAAUUUUUAAAACCGAGGACUUUUGCCCUUCUUCAUUAGCUGACAAGAACCCUUUUCUUUUCUUUACAAAUCCCAAAACCUUUACUAGACUUUUUCUACUUCUUUAGCUUACUUCACCUAGAGCCUUUUACCUUUUCUCAUCAAUGAAUCAACUCUUUUGU
Molecule: small RNA, 1406 nt
Filed under: Arabidopsis thaliana (thale cress)
Lineage: Eukaryota; Viridiplantae; Streptophyta; Magnoliopsida; Brassicales; Brassicaceae
Description: ATSL162540
Source: RNAcentral